RNAcentral lists this ribosomal RNA (460 nucleotides) under uncultured bacterium. Its description in RNAcentral is "partial 16S ribosomal RNA". It matches the Rfam family "Bacterial small subunit ribosomal RNA", at positions 338 to 795 of the family's 1533-position model. The record is from RNAcentral.
CCUACGGGAGGCAGCAGUGAGGAAUAUUGGUCAAUGGACGAGAGUCUGAACCAGCCAAGUAGCGUGAAGGAUGACUGCCCUAUGGGUUGUAAACUUCUUUUAUAUGGGAAUAAAAUGUUCCACGUGUGGGAUGUGGUAUGUAUCAUAUGAAUAAGGAUCGGCUAACUCCGCGUCAGAAGCCGCGGUAAUACGGAGGAUCCGAGCGUUUUCCGGAUUUUUUGGGUUUAAAGGGUGCGUAGGUGGGUUGUUAAGUCAGUUGUGAAAGGUUCCGGCUCAACCGUGAAAUUGCAGUUGAAACAGGCAGUCUUGAGUACAGUAGAGGUUGGCGGAAUUCGUGGUGUAGCGGUGAAAUGCUUAGAUAUCACGAAGAACUCCGAUUGCGAAGGCAGCUGACUGGACUGCAACUGACGCUGAGGCUCGAAAGUGUGGGUAUCAAACAGGAUUAGAUACCCGGGUAGUC